AGGUCUGUAGCUCAGUUGGUUAGAGCGCACCCCUGAUAAGGGUGAGGUCGGCAGUUCAAAUCUACCCAGACCUA
Molecule: transfer RNA, 74 nt
Filed under: Pseudomonas putida
Lineage: Bacteria; Pseudomonadati; Pseudomonadota; Gammaproteobacteria; Pseudomonadales; Pseudomonadaceae
Description: tRNA-Ile
Rfam family: tRNA
About the family: Transfer RNA (tRNA) molecules are approximately 80 nucleotides in length. Their secondary structure includes four short double-helical elements and three loops (D, anti-codon, and T loops). Further hydrogen bonds mediate the characteristic L-shaped molecular structure. tRNAs have two regions of fundamental functional importance: the anti-codon, which is responsible for specific mRNA codon recognition, and the 3' end, to which the tRNAs corresponding amino acid is attached (by aminoacyl-tRNA synthetases). tRNAs cope with the degeneracy of the genetic code in two manners: having more than one tRNA (with a specific anti-codon) for a particular amino acid; and 'wobble' base-pairing, i.e. permitting non-standard base-pairing at the 3rd anti-codon position.
Source: RNAcentral